This 221-nucleotide long non-coding RNA is filed under the name Panax ginseng (ginseng). RNAcentral's name for it is "long non-coding RNA (PGIN_LNC017983)". The record is from RNAcentral. Lineage: Eukaryota; Viridiplantae; Streptophyta; Magnoliopsida; Apiales; Araliaceae.
UCCAAAAAUUUUCAUAGAUACCAGAAAGUUAUUUUUUCAUUUAUCCACCAAGAGUGUUGAAAAUUGAUUAUAUAUAGUGGCCUAAACUAUUAUUCUUGUCAAAUUAUGCAAGUACAAUUUAUUAUUAUAAAUUAUGUAUUAUUCAGAAAAUUUUCAAAAUGAUAAUAACCUGUUAUUAUGUUGUAUAAUUUUUUUUUUGGCACCUAUACUAUGUGUUUUAC